Molecule: unclassified non-coding RNA, 1123 nt
Filed under: Hevea brasiliensis (rubber tree)
Lineage: Eukaryota; Viridiplantae; Streptophyta; Magnoliopsida; Malpighiales; Euphorbiaceae
Source: RNAcentral
CACCCUUUGUUAGUAUUCUCUCGCAAGCUCUGCAGAUUUCUUUAGAAAAAUGGGAGAUUCCUGAAAUCUCCUCUCCAUUGAAAUCUAUAAUAACAACCCCUAUGCCUAUCAAAACAGGCCAUGCCUAUCUUACAAUGCCUCCCUCUCUCCCAGCCAAACUUCCCUUUAUUGAUUUUCUUUUCAAGUGAAAAACUCAUUCAGAAAAUGAAGUUUACCUUUCUUGCGUGGUUCUUCAUCUUCUUGUGUGGUCGUGCCAUGUCAAACAUGGCUGAUGAAGGCAAACCCACAUCAAAACGGGAAGAUUUCAGCCUCUCAGAAACUGAUAAACAUGGACAAGUUCAUGGUGUAAACAGAACUCAGAGAUUGAAUGGCGACGAUGAAAGAAAGGAAUACAGGGGAAACCAUGAACUUUUCCACUCAACAAAGAAGGGAAAGAAAGGGAAGGGAGUUUACGGGGGUGCAAAUAUUGUUCACCGCCCACGCCAUCGUGAAAGAAAUGCUGCAAUAUUAACAGCAAAGCCUUCCUUCUUUGUGUCAGCCACCAUGUUGUGUGUGAGUUGGGCUUUGGUUCUCAUGUUCUUCCCCAUUUUAAGUUAAAUUAGGCACAAGAUGGACAUGAAAUUUUGAUAUCUUUCUUGGUGCUUAAAGGUACGGUUUUGGUGUAGCUUUUGGCAAGCAUAUUGUUGAACUACUUCGGAAUUUUGAUAUUAUUAAAUUGUUACCUUUUGUUUGGACUGGGAGGUUACGGUGGUAAGGGAAAGUAAGAGAGGAUUUUAAGAAAAUUUUACCUUGUUUGGGAAGGAAGAUUGGGAAGAGUUAAGGGAAUUGAGAGUUUUUGGGAGGUUAUUUGGGGGGUUUUCGUUAUUCAACCGCCCAAAACCCUCCAAUUUCCAACCCAUUGGGAAGGGUUAAAAAAAAAAAUUUAUUUAUUGAUUUCCUAUAUUGCCCAUAUCAAUUUUAGAAAAAGUUAAAACUAUCUCUUUUUACUAUAAAAUAACAAGUUUUAUAAAAAGAAUAAUUUUGUAAUUUUUAUAUUUAACCUUACCUUCCAAUAUCAUCCAACUAAACAAAAUAAGAAUAUAAAAUCUUCAUUUACUUUACCUUCUUCUCAAACAUAAAUAAA